RNAcentral lists this ribosomal RNA (491 nucleotides) under uncultured bacterium. RNAcentral describes it as "partial 16S ribosomal RNA". It matches the Rfam family "Bacterial small subunit ribosomal RNA", at positions 30 to 507 of the family's 1533-position model. The record is from RNAcentral.
AUUGAACGCUGGCGGCAUGCUUUACACAUGCAAGUCGAACGGUAACAGGCCUUCGGGUGCUGACGAGUGGCGAACGGGUGAGUAAUGCAUCGGAACGUGCCCAGAGGUGGGGGAUAACGCAGCGAAAGCUGUGCUAAUACCGCAUGUGAUCUGAGGAUGAAAGCGGGGACCAGGCAGCAAUGUUUGGCCUCGCGCCUUUGGAACGGCCGAUGUCCGAUUAGGUAGUUGGUGGGGUAAAGGCCUACCAAGCCGACGAUCUGUAGCUGGUCUGAGAGGACGACCAGCCACACUGGGACUGAGACACGGCCCAGACUCCUACGGGAGGCAGCAGUGGGGAAUUUUGGACAAUGGGCGCAAGCCUGAUCCAGCAAUGCCGCGUGCGGGAAGAAGGCCUUCGGGUUGUAAACCGCUUUUGUACGGAACGAAAAGGCUCUGGCUAAUACCUGGGGCUGAUGACGGUACCGUAAGAAUAAGCACCGGCUAACUACGUG